This 835-nucleotide ribosomal RNA is filed under the name uncultured bacterium. RNAcentral's name for it is "bacterial SSU rRNA". It matches the Rfam family "Bacterial small subunit ribosomal RNA", at positions 461 to 1301 of the family's 1533-position model. The record is from RNAcentral.
GGACGAUAAUGACGGUACUUUAGGAGGAAGCUCCGGCUAACUACGUGCCAGCAGCCGCGGUAAUACGUAGGGAGCGAGCGUUGUCCGGAAUUACUGGGUGUAAAGGGAGCGUAGGCGGGACUGCAAGUCAGAUGUGAAAUGCCGGGGCUUAACCCCGGAGCUGCAUUUGAAACUGUGGUUCUUGAGUGAAGUAGAGGCAAGCGGAAUUCCUGGUGUAGCGGUGAAAUGCGUAGAUAUCAGGAGGAACACCGGUGGCGAAGGCGGCUUGCUGGGCUUUUACUGACGCUGAGGCUCGAAAGCGUGGGUAGCAAACAGGAUUAGAUACCCUGGUAGUCCACGCUGUAAACGAUGAUUACUAGGUGUGGGGGGACUGACCCCUUCCGUGCCGCAGUUAACACAAUAAGUAAUCCACCUGGGGAGUACGGCCGCAAGGUUGAAACUCAAAGGAAUUGACGGGGGCCCGCACAAGCAGUGGAGUAUGUGGUUUAAUUCGAAGCAACGCGAAGAACCUUACCAGGUCUUGACAUCGUGCGCAUAGCAUAGAGAUAUGUGAAAUUCCUUCGGGAACGCAUAGACAGGUGGUGCAUGGUUGUCGUCAGCUCGUGUCGUGAGAUGUUGGGUUAAGUCCCGCAACGAGCGCAACCCUUACCUUUAGUUGCUACGCAAGAGCACUCUAAAGGGACUGCCGUUGACAAAACGGAGGAAGGUGGGGAUGACGUCAAAUCAUCAUGCCCCUUAUGACCUGGGCUACACACGUACUACAAUGGCAAUCAACAAAGAGAAGCAAGACAGUGAUGUGGAGCGAAUCUCAAAAAAUUGUCCCAGUUCACAUUGC